GACGAACGCUGGCGGCGUGCUUAACACAUGCAAGUCGAACGGAAAGGCCCUGCUUUUGUGGGGUGCUCGAGUGGCGAACGGGUGAGUAACACGUGAGUAACCUGCCCUUGACUUUGGGAUAACUUCAGGAAACUGGGGCUAAUACCGGAUAGGAGCUCCUGCUGCAUGGUGGGGGUUGGAAAGUUUCGGCGGUUGGGGAUGGACUCGCGGCUUAUCAGCUUGUUGGUGGGGUAGUGGCUU
Molecule: ribosomal RNA, 240 nt
Filed under: uncultured Propionibacterium sp.
Lineage: Bacteria; Bacillati; Actinomycetota; Actinomycetes; Propionibacteriales; Propionibacteriaceae
Description: partial 16S ribosomal RNA
Rfam family: Bacterial small subunit ribosomal RNA
Source: RNAcentral